Long non-coding RNA from Rosa chinensis, 217 nucleotides. RefSeq lists it as uncharacterized. The record is from RefSeq and is a predicted model, not a curated record. The transcript has 2 exons. NCBI's taxonomy places the organism in Eukaryota, Viridiplantae, Streptophyta, Magnoliopsida, Rosales, Rosaceae.
GAUGGAGCUCGGAUUGAAGUGCAAGAAAGGAAAGGGAGACAGCUUGUUAUAGCAAGUUGGCUGCUCCGGCAUGGUUCAUCGGAGAUUGAACUAAGAAGAAGGGUCAUAGAUGCUGCAAUCAGCAGAAGAAGUUGAUGAAGAUAUGAGGAGAAGGGUUGUUGGGAUUGGGUGGGGAAUUGAAACAUGAUGCUUCUGCCAUAAUUGUGUUGAAUUGAAA